CCUACGGGAGGCAGCAGUGGGGAAUAUUGGGCAAUGGGCGCAAGCCUGACCCAGCAACGCCGCGUGAAGGAAGAAGGCUUUCGGGUUGUAAACUUCUUUUGUCAGGGACGCAGCAAGUGACGGUACCUGACGAAUAAGCCACGGCUAACUACGUGCCAGCAGUCUCGGGAAUACGUAGGUGGCAAGCGUUGUCCGGAUUUACUGGGUGUAAAGGGCGUGUAGGCGGGACUGCAAGUCAGAUGUGAAAACCACGGGGUCAACCUGUGGCCAGCAGUUGAAACUGUAGUUCUUGAGUACUGGAGAGGCAGGCGGAAUUCGUAGUGUAGCGGUGAAAUGCGUAGAUAUUAGGAGGAACACCAGUGGCGAAGGCGGUCUGCUGGACAGCAACUGACGCUGAGGCGCGAAAGCGUGGGGAGCGAACAGGAUUAGAUACCCGAGUAGUC
Molecule: ribosomal RNA, 443 nt
Filed under: uncultured bacterium
Lineage: Bacteria
Description: partial 16S ribosomal RNA
Rfam family: Bacterial small subunit ribosomal RNA
Source: RNAcentral